GACGAACGCUGGCGGCGUGCUUAACACAUGCAAGUCGAACGGAAAGGCCCUGCUUUUGUGGGGUGCUCGAGUGGCGAACGGGUGAGUAACACGCGAGUAACCUGCCCUUGACUUUGGGAUAACUUCAGGAAACUGGGGCUAAUACAGGAUAGGAGCUCCUGCUGCAUGGUGGGGGAUGGAAAGUUUCGGCGGUUGGGGCUGGACUCGCGGCUUAUCAGCUUGUUGGGGGGGUAGGGGAUUCCCAAGCCUUUGACGGGUAGCCGGCCUGAGAGGGUGGCCGGCCACAUUGGUCCUGCGAUACGGCCCAGACUCGUACGGGCGGCAGCGGUGGGGAAUAUUGCGCAAUGGGCGGAAGCCUGUUGCAGCAGCGCCGCGUGCGUGAUGCCGGCCUUCGGGUUGUAAACCGCUUUCGCCUGUGACGAAGCGUGAGUGACGGUAAUGAGUAAAGAAGCACCGGCUAACUACGUG
RNAcentral lists this ribosomal RNA (468 nucleotides) under uncultured bacterium. RNAcentral describes it as "partial 16S ribosomal RNA". It matches the Rfam family "Bacterial small subunit ribosomal RNA", at positions 28 to 507 of the family's 1533-position model. The record is from RNAcentral.